GUGGGGAAUAUUGGACAAUGGGCGAAAGCCUGAUCCAGCAAUGCCGCGUGAGUGAUGAAGGCCCUAGGGUUGUAAAGCUCUUUUACCCGGGAUGAUAAUGACAGUACCGGGAGAAUAAGCUCCGGCUAACUCCGUGCCAGCAGCCGCGGUAAUACGGAGGGAGCUAGCGUUGUUCGGAAUUACUGGGCGUAAAGCGCGCGUAGGCGGUUUUUUAAGUCAGAGGUGAAAGCCCGGGGCUCAACCCCGGAAUUGCCUUUGAAACUGGAAAACUUGAAUCUUGGAGAGGUCAGUGGAAUUCCGAGUGUAGAGGUGAAAUUCGUAGAUAUUCGGAAGAACACCAGUGGCGAAGGCGACUGACUGGACAAGUAUUGACGCUGAGGUGCGAAAGCGUGGGGAGCAAACAGGAUUAGAUACCCCAGUAGUCC
This 425-nucleotide ribosomal RNA is filed under the name uncultured bacterium. Its description in RNAcentral is "partial 16S ribosomal RNA". It matches the Rfam family "Bacterial small subunit ribosomal RNA", at positions 354 to 796 of the family's 1533-position model. The record is from RNAcentral.